Molecule: ribosomal RNA, 115 nt
Filed under: Providencia alcalifaciens
Lineage: Bacteria; Pseudomonadati; Pseudomonadota; Gammaproteobacteria; Enterobacterales; Morganellaceae
Description: partial 23S ribosomal RNA
Rfam family: Bacterial large subunit ribosomal RNA
Source: RNAcentral
GGUUAAGCGACUAAGCGUACACGGUGGAUGCCUAGGCAAUCAGAGGCGAUGAAGGACGUGCUAAUCUGCGAUAAGCGUCGGUAAGGUGAUAUGAACCGUUAUAACCGACGAUUUC